AACCAACAGGGAUUGCCCUAGUAACGGCGAGUGAAGCGGCAACAGCUCAAAUUUGAAAGCUGGCUUCGGCCCGCGUUGUAAUUUGGAGAGGAUGCUUUGGGCGAGGCUCCUUCUGAGUUCCCUGGAACGGGACGCCACAGAGGGUGAGAGCCCCGUAUAGUUGGAAGCCAAGCCUGUGUAAAGCUCCUUCGACGAGUCGAGUAGUUUGGGAAUGCUGCUCAAAAUGGGAGGUAAAUUUCUUCUAAAGCUAAAUACCGGCCAGAGACCGAUAGCGCACAAGUAGAGUGAUCGAAAGAUGAAAAGCACUUUGAAAAGAGGGUUAAAUAGCACGUGAAAUUGUUGAAAGGGAAGCGCUUGUGACCAGACUUGCGCCCGGCGGAUCAUCCGGUGUUCUCACCGGUGCACUCCGCCGGGCUCAGGCCAGCAUCGGUUCUGGCGGGGGGAUAAAGGCCCAGGGAAUGUGGCUCCUCCGGGAGUGUUAUAGCCCUGGGUGUAAUACCCUCGCCGGGACCGAGGACCGCGCUCUGCAAGGAUGCUGGCGUAAUGGUCACCAGCGACCCGUCUUGAAACACGGACCAAGGAGUCAAGGUUUUGCGCGAGUGUUUGGGUGUAAAACCCGCACGCGUAAUGAAAGUGAACGUAGGUGAGAGCUUCGGCGCAUCAUCGACCGAUCCUGAUGUAUUCGGAUGGAUUUGAGUAGGAGCGUUAAGCCUUGGACCCGAAAGAUGGUGAACUAUGCUUGGAUAGGGUGAAGCCAGAGGAAACUCUGGUGGAGGCUCGCAGCGGUUCUGACGUGCAAAUCGAUCGUCAAAUCUGAGCAUGGGGGCGAAAGAC
RNAcentral lists this ribosomal RNA (834 nucleotides) under Thermochaetoides thermophila. RNAcentral describes it as "partial 28S ribosomal RNA". It matches the Rfam family "Eukaryotic large subunit ribosomal RNA", at positions 63 to 931 of the family's 3401-position model. The record is from RNAcentral. Lineage: Eukaryota; Fungi; Ascomycota; Sordariomycetes; Sordariales; Chaetomiaceae.